UGUAGUUUCCUAUCAGACAGAUUAAACCGACUCCUCCAAAGAAAUUCCCAGUAAAACUUCAUAAAUGGACAUAUUUUGAAGAAGAUAAAGCAUUCAUUGAAUUCAUAUCUGUUGCAGACAAUCAUGCAAAUGAUUAUGAUUGAAGAGGCUUACCAAUUAUGUAAUAUCUCUAGAGCAAAAGCACACCUUUCAUACACUUCAUCAUAUACCAUUCAUGUGUACUGGUGAAAUCAAUGUGAUGCAACAUUUUAAAAACUUCUCUUUACUUUUGCGCAUAAAAUUUUAUUUUUAAAAACAUUUUAAUUAUCUUUAAGUACAGUAAUAUUAUGUUAAUAUUUUUUUGAUUUAAAAUAAAUCAAUUUUAUCAACAUCAAUUAUGUAGUGUGUGAUCUUUUUAUUAAUUUGUGAUGAGCAAGGGAACACUACACUGAAAACCAUACAUACUGUGAACCUCCGAA
Molecule: non-coding RNA, 458 nt
Organism: Paramuricea clavata
Lineage: Eukaryota; Metazoa; Cnidaria; Anthozoa; Malacalcyonacea; Plexauridae
Source: the annotation of a GenBank genome assembly